GUCGAGGGGUAACAUUGUGCUUGCACAGAUGACGACCGGCGCACGGGUGCGUAACGCGUAUGCAAUCUACCUUUUACAGGGGAAUAGCCCAGAGAAAUUUGGAUUAAUGCCUCAUAGUAUAUAGUUGUGGCAUCACAAUUAUAUUAAAGAUUUAUCGGUAAAAGAUGAGCAUGCGUUCUAUUAGUUAGUUGGUAAGGUAACGGCUUACCAAGACUACGAUAGAUAGGGGCCCUGAGAGGGGGAUCCCCCACACUGGUACUGAGACACGGACCAGACUCCUACGGGAGGCAGCAGUGAGGAAUAUUGGACAAUGGGCGAGAGCCUGAUCCAGCCAUGCCGCGUGCAGGAAGACUGCCCUAUGGGUUGUAAACUGCUUUUAUACAGGAAGAAACACUCGGACGUGUCCGAGCUUGACGGUACUGUAAGAAUAAGGAUCGGCUAACUCCGUGCCAGCAGCCGCGGUAAUACGGAGGAUCCAAGCGUUAUCCGGAAUCAUUGGGUUUAAAGGGUCCGUAGGUGGAUGAUUAAGUCAGAGGUGAAAUCUUGCAGCUCAACUGUAAAAUUGCCUUUGAUACUGGUUAUCUUGAGUUAUUAUGAAGUAGUUAGAAUAUGUAGUGUAGCGGUGAAAUGCAUAGAUAUUACAUAGAAUACCAAUUGCGAAGGCAGAUUACUAAUAAUCAACUGACACUGAUGGACGAAAGCGUGGGUAGCGAACAGGAUUAGAUACCCUGGUAGUCCACGCCGUAAACGAUGGUUACUAGCUGUUCGGACUUCGGUCUGAGUGGCUAAGCGAAAGUGAUAAGUAACCCACCUGGGGAGUACGUUCGCAAGAAUGAAACUCAAAGGAAUUGA
Molecule: ribosomal RNA, 852 nt
Filed under: bacterium W15S36
Lineage: Bacteria
Description: bacterial SSU rRNA
Rfam family: Bacterial small subunit ribosomal RNA
Source: RNAcentral